GCAAACUAUUCACUCAACCCGUUUCUCUGCCCCGUGCGGUCGUGCCCCACGACCCAUUCCUCUCCCUCAUCCACGAACUCAUCUUCUUCCUCCCCAUGCACACCUUCCUCCGCGCCCCGGCGAGAUCCGUUGCGCCCAGCCUCCAUCGACCUGGCCACGCCGGAGCUCCUCCUUCCCCAACCUUCUUCUCCGCCGACGCACCCCACACCCCAGACCGGCAGCGAAGCAUCCUGCACCGGCGGACGCGCUCCCCCGCCUCUGACCGGCGCCAACGUUGCCCCACGCCCCGCUUCUCCCUUCCGGCAUCGUCCUGCGCCCCGCCGCAUCGAUCCCUCGCCGAUUCGAUGCAUCCCGCGGCUGGGACCUUCGAUCCCCGUCAGAUCCGGGCCCUUCUUGUCCAACAACGACAACAAAAGCACGCAGCGGCUGCUCUGGCUGCCCCAUCGCAGAUUCCAACCAGUGCCCCCCUGCUCGCUGUGGACUUAUGAAUCCAUAUGUCAACAUACAGUGCCGGUGCAUGGGCUGCGUCGGCAAGGUCGACAAGGCAAUGCCCUCCGUGAGGACCUUCUUACGGGUUGAAACGUCAGUGGGAGCGACGUCGGCACUGGAGUCGUGGCCGUGGCGGGCAAGGUGAACCCGGCGGAGCUCUGCCAGUGGCUCAAGAGGAAGACAAGGAAGGAUGCCAAGAUUGUCCACCUUCGUACACCUGCUAAAGAAUCAUAAUAAACAGGGCCUCACUAAAUUCUAAAAUGAUGUCAAAGCAACGUUUUCAAGGUUUUGUGCACAUGCUCAAGAAAGAAGAUUCAACAUCCACUUCUAGCGGGACUUGCUUUUUAUUUUCCCUGUUUGCAAGCAAGAAGCUUUGCCAGCUACUUCCAGUUUGGGGGCAAUGCAAAAUGCAAUGGCCAGCAGGUGUGCUCUUGUAGAAUACAACUGCAAGAGAAGCAUGGCACAUCCCUGACAAACACGGCGCCGUGUUUUACAUGAAUUGGUCCUCCUUAUAGCUUGCUUUUUUUAAGAAGUUGUGAGUUGUACAUUUUUCACACAGAAGGAUGAUGAAGUUGUGUCGGUGUUUGGGUGUUCGUCGGAAACGAUGCGUAUAGAGGAUCUUCUUGCAGACUGGAAUGACAAAGACCUUUGCGCAUGAUCUGCAUGUUAGCAAGUUGCGCAGAAUAAAUGUUUUUGGCAUAUGAAUGUGGCAACCAGUAAGAGAUUGAGGAGAGAGGUCUUGUAGUGCCGGUAACCAGCAAGCGAAUUAGGAGCGAGAGCCAAGAGGGCGCCACCAUUUAUGUGUCGUGACCACCUAGCAGGGAGGAGCUAGAUCCAGAAAAUCUUUUUCCUAGUGGUCGAGAAUUGGCCCGCAAAUCUCCAGAAGGAGUGAUGGAACCACUUGGUGGGGAGGCAAGAUGUUUUCCAUUGAGGGCCACAUGGGAUGGGGACAACCUUUCCUUUCUAGGACGGUGUGGACAGAAUUUUACUUUUUGGGGGUGUGUGCUCGGGGGCACUAGCCAGCCAACGGGUGCUGGCUAGACGCGUCCUUAAAUAAUUUGUAAUGAGGUUGUACUUAAACUCGAUGAGCUUCAAAACGGUCGUGUUGGUUUGUUCCAUCACUUUGCUUUUAUUUCAUUUUGCUUUUUAUUUUUAUUUUUCCUUUGCAAUUUUUCGUUUGCAAGUUAGUUUUCAAAAAACCAAAAACCAAAAAAAUAGAAUAAGCUGUGCUUUGCUCUUGUUCUUUAUCUUGCCCUUUGGAGUUCAUCUACAUUUUGUUUUCAGAGGAGUUAAUCAACGCAGAACAACGAGGAAUGCAAGAGUAAGGAAGAGAAGUGUGUAAAUUCGCAAUCGUGAAGCUAUGCUAAGUUCUCAGGUCAAGAAGCGGAGGUCUAUCUAGGCAUACCGAUUGUAAGUGAACCAAAACAUUCUCAUUAUUUCGGUUUAAACAACUGAGUUCCUUAUGAUUCGGAUUUCUCUUUAUGUUGCUCGAGGACGAUCAAGUUUUAUAUUAGUUCUUUUAAAAAGGUUUUCGUUAGUUUCCGGCUAUUCUUUAUUUCUUUUUUUAGUU
Molecule: long non-coding RNA, 2059 nt
Organism: Triticum aestivum (bread wheat)
Lineage: Eukaryota; Viridiplantae; Streptophyta; Magnoliopsida; Poales; Poaceae
Exons: 9
Source: RefSeq, a predicted model, not a curated record